GAUGAACGCUGGCGGUAUGCCUAACACAUGCAAGUCGUACGAGAGUUUUUAAUUCUAGUGGCGGACGGGUGAGUAACACGUGAGAAUUUACCUUUAGGAGGGGGAUAACAAUUGGAAACGAAUGCUAAUACCCCAUAUGCUUUUGAGUGAAAUGGAUUUAUAAUUAUCCGCCUAAAGAAAAGCUCGCGGCUGAUUAGCUUGUUGGUAAGGUAAGAGCUUACCAAGGCGACGAUCAGUAUCUGGUUUGAGAGGACGAUCAGACACACUGGAACUGAGACACGGUCCAGACUCCUACGGGAGGCAGCAGUGGGGAAUUUUCCGCAAUGGGCGAAAGCCUGACGGAGCAAUACCGCGUGAGGGAAGACUGCCUAUGGGUUGUAAACCUCUUUUUUCAGGGAGGAAUAAAUGACGUGUACCUGAAGAAUAAGCAUCGGCUAACUCCGUG
Molecule: ribosomal RNA, 445 nt
Filed under: uncultured bacterium
Lineage: Bacteria
Description: bacterial SSU rRNA
Rfam family: Bacterial small subunit ribosomal RNA
Source: RNAcentral